ACGAACCUCUGGAGAGACUCGUAAAGAGCACCGAAGGAGCAAGGUAACUAAUAAUUUAGUUAUUGAAACUCUCAGGUAAAAGGACAGGGGAU
This 92-nucleotide non-coding RNA is filed under the name Clostridium nigeriense. RNAcentral describes it as "Glycine riboswitch". It matches the Rfam family "Glycine riboswitch aptamer". Rfam says of the family: This family represents the bacterial glycine riboswitch. RNAcentral also lists the same sequence under 1 other name. Lineage: Bacteria; Bacillati; Bacillota; Clostridia; Eubacteriales; Clostridiaceae. The record is from RNAcentral.